ACAAAAACAAAAACAUUGACAACCUUCACGUCAAUUAAUUUAACUAAGAAUUACAGCUUAAUACACGAUGACACUCAAAAGAAAUGGGAAUUUAUGAAACUUGAGGCAAAUAUGGAGUGCCGAGUGGUGCAAGUUAAAGCUUUGGUGCAAGGUAUUCAUGGAUGUGAUCAUUAGGAUUGUGCGCAAGAGGCCUUCUACACAGGCCGAUCGAGAUACUUGACGACUGUGAACUCCUCCAGACUGACUUGGACUCCCUCAUUAAUGUGUAGCCAAAACAUAAGGAGAAUUUUGACGUUGAAAUUUAACACAGACGAGUUCCACAUUUUAGUUUGAAGUCGACUGUUUAAGAAUGCUCUUCUCGGGAGUUUUAGUCCUCAAGUUUACUUAAUGUCUCCACCUGCCUCUUGGAUGUCCUGCUGCUUCAGAUAUUAAUAAAAGAACUUCGUCGUUGCUCUAAGGCCGUUAGAAAGAAGCAGGCGGACUGUCUGGCUCGAUGCCGUAGCAACCAAGGCCUGAAGGUUAAAGAAAAUCGUGUCUGUUGGUGACCGAUGCUUUUCGACAUAUGUUAAAUAAUGGUCCUUUGCGUCUGGAAAUAUGCAAGAGUAUUUUUUUGUCAGUUAAUAAUUUUUGUGCUUUUAAAAAGUAAAGAAGUUUGACAGAUUUGGAUAUCAUUGACAGUGAAUAUAACUGAGUUGUCUCAGGGUCAUAGCUUGAUUUUUUUUUAUGUAAUAUUGAUUAUGUGAUACAUGAAUAUAUAAGUAUAUACACGUAACGAAUCACACACAUUAUAUAUGUGUGUGUGUGUGUG
Long non-coding RNA from Penaeus chinensis, 808 nucleotides. RefSeq lists it as uncharacterized. The transcript has 4 exons. Lineage: Eukaryota; Metazoa; Arthropoda; Malacostraca; Decapoda; Penaeidae. The record is from RefSeq and is a predicted model, not a curated record.